RNAcentral lists this small RNA (28 nucleotides) under Bombyx mori (domestic silkworm). Its description in RNAcentral is "ovarian small RNA-7707". The record is from RNAcentral. Lineage: Eukaryota; Metazoa; Arthropoda; Insecta; Lepidoptera; Bombycidae.
UCUCAAGAUUAUCGUGUCGCCGUUCCUC